This is an RNA transcript of Gorilla gorilla gorilla (western lowland gorilla), 4546 nucleotides long. It is a transcript of the gene named ELL associated factor 1, with no coding region annotated. The transcript has 11 exons. NCBI's taxonomy places the organism in Eukaryota, Metazoa, Chordata, Mammalia, Primates, Hominidae. The record is from RefSeq and is a predicted model, not a curated record.
AUGGCACCGCCCCCACCACUUCCGCUAGGAACCCGGAAGUUCCUACCCGACGCCGGAAGUCCCACGGCCUUGCCUCCUCAGAUUCCUCUCCCACCCCCACGCAGAGGAGAGAACUUGCUUCUGGACCCGGGUGGGUGCCGGCUCGGCUCUCCUUGUCUUCCAGAGCGGUGGCCCGGAAGCACAGUCCUCCCAGACGUCAGCGUCAGAAGCUCGGAUCGCGGCUGCACCGGGAGAGCGCCGAUCUGGGUGCGAGGCAGGUGCGGGGCCAUGAAUGGGACCGCGAACCCGCUGCUGGACCGCGAGGAACAUUGCCUGAGGCUCGGGGAGAGCUUCGAGAAGCGGCCGCGGGCCUCCUUCCACACUAUUCGUUAUGAUUUUAAACCAGCAUCUAUAGACACUUCCUGUGAAGGAGAGCUUCAAGUUGGCAAAGGAGAUGAAGUCACAAUUACACUGCCACAUAUCCCUGGAUCCACACCACCCAUGACUGUGUUCAAGGGGAACAAACGGCCUUACCAGAAAGACUGUGUGCUUAUUAUUAAUCAUGACACUGGUGAAUAUGUGCUGGAAAAACUCAGUAGCAGCAUUCAGGUGAAGAAAACAAGAGCUGAGGGCAGCAGUAAAAUCCAGGCCAGAAUGGAACAGCAGCCCACUCGUCCUCCACAGACGUCACAGCCACCACCACCUCCACCACCUAUGCCAUUCAGAGCUCCAACGAAGCCUCCAGUUGGACCCAAAACUUCUCCCUUGAAAGAUAACCCCUCACCUGAACCUCAGUUGGAUGACAUCAAAAGAGAGCUGAGGGCUGAAGUUGACAUUAUUGAACAAAUGAGCAGCAGCAGUGGGAGCAGCUCUUCAGACUCUGAGAGCUCUUCGGGAAGUGAUGACGACAGCUCCAGCAGUGGAGGCGAGGACAAUGGCCCAGCCUCUCCUCCGCAGCCUUCACACCAGCAGCCCUACAACAGUAGGCCUGCCGUUGCCAAUGGAACCAGCCGGCCACAAGGAAGCAACCAGCUCAUGAACACCCUCAGAAAUGACUUGCAGUUGAGUGAGUCUGGCAGUGACAGUGAUGACUAGUGCUGGAUCUUUCGAAACCUACUUUUUGGUGCACAAACAUGCCGCAAGACUGAGCUACUUUGGCGUGGAGUCCAUUGCAAGAGGAAAAUGUUAUGGAUCAGUGACUGUAGUAGGAGUUUGAGGCUCUGGAACUCUCACAUAUUCAAGUCUUUAACUUAGUGGUGAUGGGUGAUUUUCUCGUGUCAUUUUUGAACAAUCUCAUCUUUCAAAGUUUAAGUAGACCUGUAGAAGAGCUAACAGAAUUAUAUUUCUAUUUAGUUAACAUUGUUAAUGAAAAACAGAUAAAUGUGCCCUGGUCUAAGUUACUCAAAGGCCAUAUCUUCACCAGGCCAGAGAUUCAGUUUUAAACCUCAGCAGCCAUCAGUUUGGCCAAGUGGUUGGUACCAGUGAAAUGAAGUCUUUGAUGGGUAGGAGAGAGAGGGAAAACCUCAAACUACAUCAUAGAAAUAUGUUAAAACCACUUUAAAUUGUUGACACAAAGUGGUAAGGAAGUUUUGUCUGACUCAGCCUGACAAGCCUGGAUAGAAAUGGACCUCAGAAUACAGAAUGGAGUCCUUGAGUGUCAGCUGGUGAGGACCAUGGAGUCCUGCCAGCUCAACCUGUCAUUUACAGACUAAGAAAGGGAAGUACACACCUGGCUUGUGGCCAGUCUCCUGCCCCCUCUCUGGGCUUUCCUCACUGUUCUCUCCCUUGAAUCUCAUUUGUAGGAAUCAAGAGAUUCUUAUACAUGGGACUUUUAGAUGUACAUUGGCACUUGGAUUAGAUUCCAAAAGACAAAAGUGUUGGGUGCUUCUAGCUUGAAUUCAGUCCCUAAAUACAUGAGGCUGGGUGAGCAGAUGAAACCGGUAGCCACUGUGCUGAUGCAUGUGACUCCAUUCAGUUGGGGCUUUUGGUUCCAUGUGGAUCCAUACUAAGUAUUCUUCAGUCAGUGGAUUUUAGCAGGGUGAGGUAGGAGUGGAAGAGAGGUGUGAAGAAACCUCUCCGAACAAAUGAACCAGCAGUAAGUUUCUAAAAAUCAGAAUCUAGAUAGAAGUUCUGCAAUAUGAAAUGAGCACAUUCUUUGAUAAGGCAUAUCUAUUCAUGCUUUUGUACCACUGUUUUGUACCUGACUCCCUGACCGAUUUGUAUUUUUUAUAUACAACUAGAAGAAAGUCACAAGAUUGCCUUCUACAGUGUGCCAUUUCCAAAUGGAUCUGUUGUUGGAGGAAACUGGUUGCUAGUCAAUGUUCUAUAUUUAAUGAAUGUGUGAUAAAUCAUCCUGUAAUCAGUAUGGAGUAACCUGUUUUUGUAGUUUGGAUGAAUAUGUCCUGAGAAAUUUCCAUCCACUUUGGUUCAGCGGACAUCAAGAUAGUAAUAAUAAUUUUUCCUCCACAGGUCCCUCCACUCAUAUGGCCUCUCCCUCCCCAGCUAGUGGAGGGGAAGCAGUCUGGACUUAGAAAGGAAAUAGGUGGUCUGUCAUAGGGGCUUUCAUUAGAGUUAAACUUCAUAGAGUCAACUGUUUCAUCAUCAUAGUGAGCCCAGAGAGCCACUGCCCAGCAGCAUGCUCACACCACCUACCCUAGUGUAGGUAAUAGGUCUACGCUAGGACCCCGUGCUGGGCUCUCAGCCCAUCAUGAGAUUUUGGUGGAUUUAAUGGCAGUUUACCAGAUUCCUUCUGCCUGGAAUGCUAUGCCACACACACCUCUGACUCCUAGCUGACAUUUGGCUAGAAGUGAUCCUGACCUCCUGCUUCCAUUCUCCACUUCUGCUUCAGCAGUGCUCACAUUUACCUGUGGUCUUGGCUCCUCUGCUAGACUGUAUAAACUUCUAGGUAGGCAGUGGCCAUAUUCCUUUUUAAUUCGCUGUAGUGUCUCUAAUGGGUGCUCAAUAUAUUUGGAUUGAAUUAAAUUACAUGUUAAGUCUAGAAAUCCUCUGCUACUUAAUUCUGCAAUGUGCUUGUUCCCUCAGAUGGUAAUAGGAGUUAGACUUGAACCGUCUCAGUGGGGAAGUGGUGGUGUCCAUCACUGAAGGGAGUUUUAUCUUCAGUUAACUAUUGCCACUGUAAUGUUCUGUAACAAACCAUCCCAAAACUCAAUGACUAAUAAGCAUUUAUUUUGCUCACAAGUCUGAGUUGGCUUUAGACUGGCCUUAGCUGGACAGUUCUGGUCUUGAUUGGCUCCCUCAUAGGCCUGGCAGUUGACUGAGGUUCAGCUGAUCUAGGAUGGCUUUGGCCAGCAGAGUGGGGGCAACAGCUCUGCUCCAUGUCAUCUCCACCAGCCUAGCCUGGGCAUGUUGUCAUGGCAAAGGCAGAGAGUUGUAAGAGUAAGAGAGGAACCAAAAUACUUUUGUCACAAUUGCUAAGACAUCAUUGGCCAAACCAAGUUAGAGAGCUAAGUUCAGAAUGAAGGGGUGGGGAAAUCCAUUCCCCAAAAUUGAUGGGAGGAGUUGAAAAAGAGAUUGGAAAGGGUGUAGAUACAGGGAGGUGGGAAGAAUUGCGGCUAUUAAUGCCAUCUAUUACAUUCACAUGCCCUGUGACUGCCAUGUUUGAGACCACUGGGCCACAUGAUCUCUAAGUCCCCUCCCAAUUCUGGCAUUGUUCCUGGCCAGAUAAACGAAAGUUCCAGUAAGAGUUAAGAUAUUUCUAUUCAUGAUUCAUGCAGAGGGCACCAAAAGCCACCCAAUGGCUUCUCUUGGCUUGGCCCUCCCUCCUUCAUUCACUGUGUAUAGUUUGCUCCCCUCCUGCCAUUUCUUACCAAGAGCACUAUUCCAGUUACCUGUUGCUAAGUAACAAGCUACUUCCCAGAACUUGGUGGUUUAAAACAAUCACUAUUUUACGUCAUGGAAUUUGUUGGUUACAAAUUGGGACAGAGCUUGGCUAGGCAGGUCAGCUUCUUGUGGCUUUAACUGUGGUACUUAGCUGGCAGAUAGGCCGGACUGCAGGGUCCAAACUAGCUUCACUCACAUGCCUGGCAUCCUGGUGGAGGUGGCUGGAAGCAGGCUCCUGGAACCUCUGGGCCCAUGGAUUGUAAUGCAAAAGCAUAUGGACUGGCAUAGCCUUCUUUGGUGACCAACUGCAUCUCUGAGACCCUGUCUUAUUCUAAGCCACCCCAUGUGACAGCCUCAGGAGCAGCUAAGGGAAUCCGUUCCUGCUCCUAGGGUGAGGAAAUUGAGACCAUGAGAAGUGAUGAACCCAGUCUGAAUCCAGAUGUGACUUCUGCCAUGAUUGUGAGGCCUCCCCAGCCACGUGGAACUAAACCCCAGUGUGAUGGUGGAAGCAGCAUGAAAACAACAUCUCCCCAGGCCUCGCAGUAGAGGCGAAGGGAACAGGGCUGCCCAUGUGCCUGCCUCUAAAGACGCCACCCUCGGGUUGAUGUCACCUGUGGGAGACCGGGUCCACCUACAGACACCAGGUGAUGGUCCACCAGGCCCCAAGCUCCAGCCUGCUGAGUCCCCAAGACACGGGCUCAUUAAAUGGCUUCGUACAAAAACCCAA